UUGUUCCCUGAGAUUAGCGGCGGACGGGUGAGUAACACGUGGGCAACCUGCCUAUAAGACUGGGAUAACUUCGGGAAACCGGAGCUAAUACCGGAUACGUUCUUUUCUCGCAUGAGAGAAGAUGGAAAGACGGUUUACGCUGUCACUUAUAGAUGGGCCCGCGGCGCAUUAGCUAGUUGGUGAGGUAAUGGCUCACCAAGGCGACGAUGCGUAGCCGACCUGAGAGGGUGAUCGGCCACACUGGGACUGAGACACGGCCCAGACUCCUACGGGAGGCAGCAGUAGGGAAUCUUCCGCAAUGGACGAAAGUCUGACGGAGCAACGCCGCGUGAACGAAGAAGGCCUUCGGGUCGUAAAGUUCUGUUGUUAGGGAAGAACAAGUACCAGAGUAACUGCUGGUACCUUGACGGUACCUAACCAGAAAGCCACGGCUAACUACGUGCCAGCAGCCGCGGUAAUACGUAGGUGGCAAGCGUUGUCCGGAAUUAUUGGGCGUAAAGCGCGCGCAGGUGGUUCCUUAAGUCUGAUGUGAAAGCCCACGGCUCAACCGUGGAGGGUCAUUGGAAACUGGGGAACUUGAGUGCAGAAGAGGAAAGUGGAAUUCCAAGUGUAGCGUGAAG
Molecule: ribosomal RNA, 620 nt
Filed under: Peribacillus frigoritolerans
Lineage: Bacteria; Bacillati; Bacillota; Bacilli; Caryophanales; Bacillaceae
Description: bacterial SSU rRNA
Rfam family: Bacterial small subunit ribosomal RNA
Source: RNAcentral